UCCAGACUCCUACGGGAGGCAGCAGUGGGGAAUAUUGCACAAUGGGGGAAACCCUGAUGCAGCGACGCCGCGUGAAGGAUGAAGUAUUUCGGUAUGUAAACUUCUAUCAGCAGGGAAGAAAAUGACGGUACCUGACUAAGAAGCCCCGGCUAACUACGUGCCAGCAGCCGCGGUAAUACGUAGGGGGCAAGCGUUAUCCGGAUUUACUGGGUGUAAAGGGAGCGUAGACGGCAUGGCAAGUCAGAUGUGAAAGCCUUGGGCUUAACCCGAGGAUUGCAUUUGGAACUAUCAAGCUAGAGUACAGGAGAGGAAAGCGGAAUUCCUAGUGUAGCGGUGAAAUGCGUAGAUAUCAGGAGGAACACCGGUGGCGAAGGCGGCCUGCUGGACUGCGACUGACGUUGAGGCCCGAAAGCGUGGGGAGCAAACAGGAUUAGAUACCCGCGUAAU
RNAcentral lists this ribosomal RNA (447 nucleotides) under uncultured bacterium. Its description in RNAcentral is "partial 16S ribosomal RNA". It matches the Rfam family "Bacterial small subunit ribosomal RNA", at positions 330 to 794 of the family's 1533-position model. The record is from RNAcentral.